GGGGGGGGCACUGGAGGGGCUUUGAGGUCCCUUCCCACCCAAACCAGUCUGGGAUUCGAUGAUUACCCUUGAUUUUGUACUUUAAAAGGAAUAGUGUGGGAAUUGGGUAGACACCAGCUGUGGGGUUCAUGCUUUUGUGACUCAUGAGCAGAAAGACUGUCCUCUGAAAGGGAUUUUGAUGCCUCAUCGUGUCUGUCCUCAUGUUUGAAAAACGUAGAUUUGUUCCAUCACAGGAACCGAUCAGGACGAAAGGAAGAUCAUGUGAACUUUAUGGACCUGAUUUGGAGCUAGAAGUGCAGGAGAAAACCUGAAGUCUUGGCUCAGCAGUGUCCAGCUUUCAGCUGGCUGGGAAGGAGGAGCUGAAUGCGCUGGCAACGCCGUGCUGUAAGAAACACGGACUAAGGGCUGCCUUUCUAACGCUCAAUCUCAAAUGGUAAUAGGGAGACAGGAGAGGAUGACGGGAGGCUGCCUCGGACCAGAAUGCCCUAUCCUUAAAGAAUUUGUCUACAUCAAGGCAACGUGGAGAUGAGACUGGAGUUAACUGGGAUCUGUUAAUUGAAUCUGGCCUCUUUGUCAGAGCAGAGAAAGCCCUAACUGGGCCUGUGACUUAGUUCUUAGAUUUUUGAAAGGCAUUUUGGUACCUGAACCUCACCUGUAUGGUCUAAUCGCAAGGUGGUUUGCUACAGAAUUUAAGGAUCUGCAAGAAUUUUUGUCAUUAAUCCACAACAAAAGACGGCAGAACAUCUAAAACUGGCCAAGACAACCCCUGCUUCUUGGCGACCAUUCCCAGCUACUGAUUUGUGGAAAGAGUGUAACGGUCAUAACACAAAACCCCUUGGAUAAAGGCUGUAAAAUGCUGUUUACAUAUCUGGAGUGACCUCCUCACCAAUUCGCUUAAAACCUUCACAUUUCACAUAAAAUUUUGCAGAAAAUAUUUAUAUUCCUGCACUGUCCUUGCCUGCAGUCAGUUGCUAUCAGAUGGGGUUGCUUGCUGUUGUGGCCGUGUCAUUUGUCAGUCAAAAAGCCAGUGAUUAAUAUCUUCCAGCUUGACUGACAUCCAAUUUGGGGACUGAAUGACCUUCAGAUGGUAAUUUAAGACUCAGAACUCCAGGCUUAAUGUAAAUCCUGAGUGGAAUAACAUGAUGGCUCACAUCCUUAAGAUAAAUCAAUUGAUACGUGAUUAUUUUAGGCCACAAAUAUUUCCUUAGCUCACUGGAUGAAUGAUUUGUUUUUACUUUAUCCAAAAUUUUUCUGUUUUAAACCCCUGGAAGUGACUAUUAAAUAAGCUGGAGUGAGGUAUGGAUAGAGAGCAGAAUGCAUCUUAGCACAGUCCCCUUUCUAACUCAUCUCCCUGGCAAGUUCACGGUUAUGGUUAACAAGGCCAAGCCACUAGAGGCGAUGAAGGCAUCUCACCAGGUACACAGGGACACGAUUUGCCCAGAGAAAAAAGUCAAAUGGUUGAGUAUGAGCUGGUGGUGCCACCUCACCAUAAACUGGGCAAGUGGCAUGCUGGCUACGGGAGGAAAAAUUACCAUUCCUCCUGUAUUUGGCACUGUUGGGGCCUCGCCUUGAAUAAAGAUUUAAUCUGAGCUCCCUCCAGUUCAAGAGGGAUGGGGAGAAACUGGAGAGAGCCAGCACAGGAUUACCGAGAUGCUCGAGGUCCUGGAGUUCAGGCUGGACAGCAGGGAAAACCCCUCCAGGUGCCGGUGAGCACCAGUUACCCAGGCUGGGGGGAAUCUCCAGGCUGGGGUGAUUUCAGGACCAUGAACCCAGCCUAAUGCUGCUGGCAGCGCUGCUUGAAGGGAGAUUAACUAGAGACCUCCCCAUGGCUCUUCCAGCUGACGCCUCUACAACUCUGACUCUCAGUGUCAAUCCUGCAGGCCACUAACAUCACGGGUUGGAGCGUGCACCAUAUUCCAUUUCAGUAAAAUAAGCAAGCUUUAACUCUGGGAGUCAGUUUGAGAUUCACUGAGGAGGUGGAGAAGUGGUCUUUCAUCUUAGACCUUGGACUGGCCUACCUCUUUCACAUCCUCAGUAAGAGAUUUUUCUCCAAAGACUAGUCCACAAUGAGAAGUUGCUCCUCUCCCUCUGCUCAGUUCAGCCUUGUCUUGUACAACCCUUUAUGCUGCACAUUUUUGCCCAUUAAUCUGUUUCGGCUCCAUCAUCUAGCUGUCGUCCACUGCAGGGGCCAUGAGAAUUAAGGUGCACAAACACCCUUAAGGACGUCGGCCUCAACUUUCUUUUGUCCCUGGCAUGGCAUCCACUGAUGGUGGCUUUCCCACACAGACACAUACUACGACUUUCCACAUUCUCUUCCCUUAGAAACAGGAACAUAUGAUGC
Molecule: long non-coding RNA, 2341 nt
Organism: Athene cunicularia (burrowing owl)
Lineage: Eukaryota; Metazoa; Chordata; Aves; Strigiformes; Strigidae
Exons: 3
Source: RefSeq, a predicted model, not a curated record